RNAcentral lists this ribosomal RNA (208 nucleotides) under uncultured bacterium. RNAcentral describes it as "partial 16S ribosomal RNA". It matches the Rfam family "Bacterial small subunit ribosomal RNA", at positions 568 to 774 of the family's 1533-position model. The record is from RNAcentral.
UGCGUAGGCGGCUUAGUAAGUCAGGAGUGAAAGUUUGCGGCUCAACCGUAAAAUUGCUUUUGAUACUGCUAAGCUGGAAUUAGGAUGAGGUCAGGCGGAAUGUGGCAUGUAGCGGUGAAAUGCAUAGAUAUGCCAUAGAACACCAAUUGCGAAGGCAGCUGGCUAGACCUGGAUUGACGCUGAGGCACGAAAGCGUGGGGAGCGAACA